Molecule: ribosomal RNA, 888 nt
Filed under: Corynebacterium sp. UST050418-117
Lineage: Bacteria; Bacillati; Actinomycetota; Actinomycetes; Mycobacteriales; Corynebacteriaceae
Description: bacterial SSU rRNA
Rfam family: Bacterial small subunit ribosomal RNA
Source: RNAcentral
GAAAGGCCUUCGGGGGUACUCGAGUGGUAAACGGGUGAGUAACACGUGGGUGACCUGCCCUGCACUUCGGGAUAAGCCUGGGAAACUGGGUCUAAUACCGGAUAGGACCGCAUCGUGAGGGUGUGGUGGAAAGUUUUUUCGGUGCAGGAUGGGCCCGCGGCCUAUCAGCUUGUUGGUGGGGUAAUGGCCUACCAAGGCGGCGACGGGUAGCCGGCCUGAGAGGGUGGACGGCCACAUUGGGACUGAGACACGGCCCAGACUCCUACGGGAGGCAGCAGUGGGGAAUAUUGCACAAUGGGCGCAAGCCUGAUGCAGCGACGCCGCGUGGGGGAUGAAGGCCUUCGGGUUGUAAACACCUUUCAUCAUCGACGAAGGGCUCAUUUUUUGUGGGUUUGACGGUAGGUGGAGAAGAAGCACCGGCUAACUACGUGCCAGCAGCCGCGGUAAUACGUAGGGUGCGAGCGUUGUCCGGAAUUACUGGGCGUAAAGAGCUCGUAGGUGGUUUGUUAAGCGAGAUGUGAAAGCCCCGGGCUCAACCUGGGAACUGCAUUUCGAACUGGCAAACUAGAGUGUGAUAGAGGGUGGUAGAAUUUCAGGUGUACGGUGAAAUGCGUAGAGAUUCUGAAGGAAUACCGAUGGCGAAGGCAGCCACCUGGGUCAACACUGAUCGCUCAUGUAUCGAAAGCGUGGGGAGCAAACAGGAUUAGAUAUCCUGGUAGUCCACGCCGUAAACGAUGUCUACUAGAAGCUCGGAACUCGGUUCUGUUUUCAAAGCUACGCAUAAGUAGACCGCCUGGGGAGUACGGCCGCAAGGUAAAACUCAAAUGAAUGACGGGGGCCCGCACAAGCGGUGGAGCAUGUGGUUAAUUCGAUGCAACGCGAAGAACC